RNAcentral lists this ribosomal RNA (253 nucleotides) under uncultured bacterium. RNAcentral describes it as "partial 16S ribosomal RNA". It matches the Rfam family "Bacterial small subunit ribosomal RNA", at positions 524 to 776 of the family's 1533-position model. The record is from RNAcentral.
UACAGAGGGUGCGAGCGUUGUUCGGAAUUAUUGGGCGUAAAGGGCGCGUAGGCGGUGCCACAAGUCACCUGUGAAAUCUCCGGGCUUAACUCGGAGCCUGCAGGCGAAACUGUGGUGCUGGAGUGUGGGAGAGGUGCGUGGAAUUCCUGGUGUAGCGGUGAAAUGCGCAGAUAUCAGGAGGAACACCGGUGGCGAAGGCGGAUCUCUGGGCCAUUACUGACGCUGAGGAGCGAAAGCGUGGGGAGCGAACAGG